AUUCUCCCAGGAGUGGGGGGAUAUUCUCCCUGGAGUGGGGGCGGUAUUCUCCCAGGAGUGGGGGGAGUAAGGUAUGCAGGAGAACCUGGAGUGUGCCAAUGACACGGACUUGGGCAGGAACACCUGCGCGUGACAGGUGCUGUGCUGCUCUUUGUACACACAUCACCUCUCUUGCACAACCCCGGCAGCGGCAUGAUCCCUGUAGUAACCUAGGAAAACUGGCAUUCAGAAAAGGUGGAAAGUUAGAUCCCUUAGCCAGUGGGGCCUCAAAAGUGCACAGAAAGCUCCGUAUCGCGUCUUUCCCUGUGUUUCCUUCCCAAACACUCCUGCUCAGCCCGUGUGUUAGAAUCCCAGAUCAGCUCCGCGAGGGGAGGCAGCAUGGGAGGAUAUUCAGCAAGGUGUGUGUGGGCAGGGUUCAGACAAAGCCGGGAAGCUGAGUAAUCAGCCUGCCCUUAGUAGGAACUGGAAAGGACCAGCCCGAGAGCUGUGUCCUUCAGGGACCCAACCAGGAAGGUGCUAACAUAAUCUUAUUUUUCUUGCUCUGAUUUGCUAAUGGCCUAUUGAGUAAAACCAACUAGAAGCCUGAGGCUAGAAAAGGUUGUAGACCGGUCAAGUCAAGCCAUGGGACAAAAUGCUGUCAGGCAGGACUUCCCCGCCCUGCCUGCUAUGUUUAGGGUAACAGGGUCUUGCCAGAACUUUGGCGGGGUAAGCUGAAAGAGCAGUGGUUAUAUGGAAGCUAGAGAGUUAUCCUAUCACAGAAACCUGUCUACCUAGGAAAGGAACCUGAAGGAGAAGCCCCCUGGCCUGCUGUGACUCUUCCUUCACCAUCAGCUCUUGAGGCAGAGGAGGGCCAGACAUGUGUUCAGUUUGAGAAUAUUAUGUCAAGAGCAGACAUAAAGCUGGAGGGUGGCCCCAUCUGGAGAACACCAGGAGAGCGUCUGGACCGGAAGGACAAAUGGAAACAGCAUGGAGUAGGAGCCAGCAUGAGAACCAUGAUGGGAAAGAAGGGAGGCCUCUGCGGGCGGCGGUUGCAGCCGUGAGAAGGCCGAGUGAAGAGGAAAGAUGAUCCGGGCUGGUGGGUAAUCAGGAAUGUGUGCGUGACAAUUUUACAUCUUCCAGUGGGGAUGUGAAACAGAGGAAGUUUUCUCUAGGGCCACAUAGGAGUGGCUAUGGCCCAGAGAAGAUUGAGAAGAUGGCCCCACAUCCCACGCUCCACCAUGAUGGCAGCUUUGAGGUUUGUAGUUGCUUUCCUUUGGGUCAGGUGGUUUGUUUUGUUUGUUUGUUUUUGUUUGUAGGACUUUUGGUUUUUGGUGUUUGUUGAUGUUUUGGUUUGGAUUAGUUUUUGUUCGUCUUUAGUCAGAGACUCUCUAUGUAGCCUUUGCUAGCCUGGAACUCACUAUGUAGACCAGGCUGGCCUCAAACUCCAAGAGAUCCACCCCCCUCUGCCUUCUAAAUACUGGAUUAAAGGUGUGCAAAGCCACGCCCAGCAUUCACCAUCACAGGCCUAGGGUGCCGUCUGAUGACUGUCUUAGUUUUCAGGGUUAAUGAAAGUGAUCUAUUAAUUCAUCCCAAAAGAUUUUACUGGGUAGUCAGAAAGAUGAAGUGUGAAUGGCGAAGUGUGAAUGGCUAUCUAGGGGGCUAAAGACAGCCAAAAUACACUGCCAUUCAGCACCAGACCUGCAGCAUCCCAGCUUCUCCACAAUCAUUUAAGUUCUAGCCAGUCAGUCCACCACCCUUGGAGAAGGUCAAAUGUGUGAACUUCUUUCUAGAAACAUUAGCCCACACCCCACCCGUCACUGUCCCCAUUUCUCACGGUCACUCCCUCGUAUAUUUUGUAUAUACCUAGGAAGAGAACUCAAGAAUUACCCUUCCUCCGGCUGACCUCCUGCAGAGAGCCAGCUUCCUAUUUCUGCUACCAACACGCCGCCACUGUCUUCUGAAGUAAAAACUUUCUGGGAGAUGUCCUGCUCUGCUCAGCUUUGCGGCUGGGAGAUAGGUUUAGUGUUGCAGUCACAAGAAGAGAACUUGUGAAGAACACAAGAGAAAGCAGAAGUUCAGAGAAUUUCCUGGGGCAUUGCAGGCCAUCGGUCUCUCAGUGUCCAUGAGGGUUUGGGUUUGCUCCCCAGUGCCACAGGAAGAGGGGGUGAGCUAAGGCCCCAGACUCACUCUGCUGGGGUAGCCUGGGCCUCCGUCCUUCCCUGAAGUUCUGGAGUGUCUUGUCACUCACAACAGAAGAUGGUCUCUUGUUCUUCGAUACAAUGAACAGUGGUCAGAACUUAGUGGGACAGGAUGUGAGUGGACGCCUUCUAGUUUUCUGGUGACCUGAGGAUAUCCCAGUGUUCCUCAUUGGUAGUCUGUGGGGAUGCUCACAAAAUCCUGGCUAUAGGAUAAAUGUCUGGUUUGCGGUUUUGGUGACUUGCCCUUGAAUGUCAAGUACAAAGUGCGUCCUACAUUUCCUCCUCACUCAUUAUUAGAGUCUGAUGGCAGAGAUCUGGUAAGCUGCAUUUCCCCACCAACCCCAAGCCUCAAGUCAGAAGUCCCUCGUCUUUUCCAGUUGUUCCUAAAUCUACUUUUUUAAAGUGAUGUCUCCCACAUCAUUUCCCCUGAUCAUGUUUGGGUUUUUUUGUUUCAUUUUGUUUUGUUUUUGGUUAUUCGAGACAAGAUUUUUCUGUGUAACAGCCCUGGCUUCCUGGAACUAGCUCUUAUAGACCAGGCUGGCCUUGAACACAGAGAUCCUCCUGUCUCUGCCUCCCGAGUGCUGGGAUUGAAGGUGUGCGCCACCAGACUAUAGGGCUCUUUUUCACUCCUUUCUUCUGACUUCUCAUUCUCAUUGAGUAGUUCUUACCUUACCUGCCCCUGAUAUCUGGGGUACACUGACAUUCCUUGGGAAUAAAACAAGAUUCAAACAGGAUCUUAAUCCUGAAGAGGAGAAAGUAAGCAGGGAGUUUGUGACUCUGCUUCUGUCAAACUGUACUGCACCCCUGAGGAACUGUGACAGGGAAACCUAGGCCAGGUAGUUAUUUGCUUACCACAGGGGGGCACUGUGUCUCCAUGGGUGAACUAGAGUAUGUCACGCCAAAAAAAAAAGGGGGGGGUCAAUCUAGGACAGCAAAUGCCCUCCCCACCCCCAGUCCCUCCAGAAACAUCUAUAGUUGUAUUCAAAUACAUAUACACUUAAAUGAAAUUUGUUCCCAGUUGUGAAAAUUACUCUGCUAACAAUAUGACCUCUGUAGGCAGAUUCUAAGCAAAGUUUGUCUUCCCUUCCAUAAUAACAACAGCAGCUACACCAGCAGAGACUGGUGGAAACCCCAGUUCUUAGCUUUCUCCUCAGUUUUGCCCCCAGUGGCUAUAGCAAUACUCUGUUUUUCUUCAGUUUGGCAUUUUAGCAGUGUUUGUUGCCUAACCCAACAUCCACCCGACAGCUAACUAUAACCCACUAACACCCUCUUCUGGCACUGGCCUGCAUCUAGAUGGGGUUAGGACUAGUGCCAGAGCUCAGUGGUAGGGCACUUGCCUAGCAUGUACAAGGUCCUGGGUUCAAUCCCCAGCACGAGAAAGGAAAGGAAAGUAACACCAGCAUCAAGGCCAUAAGCCUGUCUCACUACCACGCCUGAAUGUGGCCCUUGAUGCCACAGGGCUCAGUCUACCACUCAGAGCUAUGGAGGAAAUAGCACAAUUAAGGUUUCCAUGAAGCAAACUUUAACAACCCCAUAAUAUUCUAUCUACAUUGUUCCAAAAAGGACUUUCUCAUUUUCACUUGUGCACGUCUGUGUGUGCUGUGGCGUGACCCUAAGUGUUCAUGUAUGUACAUCCUUGUGUGGCGGCCAGAGGGAGACUGAGCAUAUCCCUCCAUCGCUCUACACCUAAUUUUUUUCUUUUCUCGAGACAGGGUUUCUCUAUUUUUGGUGCCUGUCCCGGAACUAGCUCUUGUAGACCAGGCUAGCCUCAAACUCACAGAGAUCCGCCUGUCUCUGCCUCCAGAGUGCUGGGAUUAAAUGCAUGCGCCACCACCGCCCGGCUCUGCACCUCAUUUUUUGAGACUGGGUGUUGUCUAGCACAACCCUCUAAAUGAAACAGCCACCAUCGUCAUGCCUGUCUGCAAAAGAUCUUCAUAGCUAGGCUUGCUGACACAAAGGAAGGACGCAGCUUACUGAACCCUCCCUACCACUCCUCCCACCCAUCUCAGGCCGUGGACUCAGAGAGGAGCAAGAGUAUACAGCUUGGGAAGACUAGGAGUGAGUUCCACCUGAACAGCAAUGGAGAAUCAUCACCUUUAUGAGAAGCAGACCUUCCAGUGUGCCUGCCUUAAGGUCACCCACAAUCUCUUUAAUUGGUUUCCCAGAGUGCACUUCGGUUUGUCAUUGGGGGGCUAGUUCCAUUGCUUGGUUCUAAACCCUCAGAAAGAAAAUUCUCCCAGCACUCGGUCCCAAUUGACACUGCUGCCCACUGAUUGGCUAGCCUGGCCAGGCAGUGAGCCAAGUAGUUUAACUCCCAGAUCCCCCAAUUCUGCCAGUGAAUAAAAGGCCUAGAGCCCUUGGAGGGUAAAAGAGGGUGUUGGAUCCCCUGAAACUAUAAGGAUGCUAGCAGUGAGCUGCCAUAUGGGCUAGGAAUUGAACCCAGGUCCCCCGAAGAGUAACUAGUGCUCCUAACCACUGAGCCAUCUUCCCAGCCCUUCAGUCAGCUCUCUUUCUUUUAAUAUUUAUUUAUUUAUUAUGUGUAUAAUAUCCUGUCUGUGUGUAUGCCUGCCGGCCAGAAGAGGGCACCAGGCCCCAUUACAGAUGGUUGUGAGCCACCAUGUGGUUGCUGGAAAUUGAACUCAGGACCUUUGGAAGAGGAGGCAAUGCUCUUAACCACUGAGCCAUCUCUCCAGCCCCCAGUCAGCUUUCUUGAAGAACACGAUAUUGAUGACAUCUCUGAAGUCCUAGUCUUCCUCGAGGACCCACAAAUGAUAAGCAAGUCCCCUGAAAUCUACACCAGUUCUCUUUCCCAAGCUUACACACAUUGUUAAUAGAAAGAGCAAUACCAUGUUUCUCAGAUCCCAUGCUCACAGACUGCACAAACCACCCCCCGGGUUAUAGCACUUGGAGGGGAACAAGGAGGGGGCAGGGAAGGGUGGGAUGCAGGCACAUCCAGACCAGGUUAAUAACGGUUUCCUCUGUAGUUUAUUGUCACCGCAGACGUUGUGGGAGACAGGAGGUCACGCUCUACACACAACAGUACGGUCAGAGCCGCGGCAGCCCUUCCCACCCUGAUGCCAAGCCCCAAGCAGUCUGGCCUGAGCUCUCUCCCCUAGGUGUGCACUGAUAGCUACGGAAGUUAGUGCAGCCACAUGGCCAGGCCCGCUCUGCUGCCCCAGCUCCCAUCCUUCCACCACUAUUCUUCACGUCCACCAUUUCCCAUUCUUACUUCCUUUUUAUGUGCUGGAUAUUUCUGUCACAUUUUAAGAA
This is a long non-coding RNA of Alexandromys fortis (reed vole), 5447 nucleotides long. RefSeq lists it as uncharacterized. NCBI's taxonomy places the organism in Eukaryota, Metazoa, Chordata, Mammalia, Rodentia, Cricetidae. The record is from RefSeq and is a predicted model, not a curated record. The transcript is spliced from 2 exons.